This 429-nucleotide ribosomal RNA is filed under the name Chloroflexota bacterium. RNAcentral describes it as "Chloroflexi bacterium partial 16S ribosomal RNA". It matches the Rfam family "Bacterial small subunit ribosomal RNA", at positions 355 to 776 of the family's 1533-position model. Lineage: Bacteria; Bacillati; Chloroflexota. The record is from RNAcentral.
UGGGGAAUAUUGCACAAUGGGCGCAAGCCUGAUGCAGCCAUGCCGCGUGUAUGAAGAAGGCCUUCGGGUUGUAAAGUACUUUCAGUCGGGAGGAAGGUGGUAAGGUUAAUAACCUUAUCAAUUGACGUUACCGACAGAAGAAGCACCGGCUAACUCCGUGCCAGCAGCCGCGGUAAUACGGAGGGUGCAAGCGUUAAUCGGAAUUACUGGGCGUAAAGCGCACGCAGGCGGUUGAUUGAGUCAGAUGUGAAAUCCCCGGGCUCAACCUGGGAACUGCAUUCGAAACUGGCAGGCUAGAGUCUUGUAGAGGGGGGUAGAAUUCCAGGUGUAGCGGUGAAAUGCGUAGAGAUCUGGAGGAAUACCGGUGGCGAAGGCGGCCCCCUGGACAAAGACUGACGCUCAGGUGCGAAAGCGUGGGGAGCAAACAGG